Oryza nivara is the source of this 193-nucleotide non-coding RNA. The record is from Rfam. NCBI's taxonomy places the organism in Eukaryota, Viridiplantae, Streptophyta, Magnoliopsida, Poales, Poaceae.
CUUAAAAAAUUUCAGUCUCCAACGUUUAACUGUCCCUCUUAUUUAAAAAAAUUAUAAAAAAAAUUAAAAGAACAAGUCAUGCAUAAAGUAUUAAUCAUGUUUUAUCAUUUAACAACAAUAAAAAUACUAAUUAUAAAAAAAUUUCAUAUAAGAUGGACAGUCAAAAGUUGGAUACGAAAAUCUAGUAUUUAUC